CAUAUCUGCUUCAUUUCUCACUGACAUUAGUCCAGUCUGUUCUUAAAAUCUCAGUGAUGGAGCACCUCCAUGGCUUCCCAAAGAGCAAGCUGUGCCUGAGCUGGUUCUUAGCAUUAGAAAGCUUUUCCUAAUAAUGUCCAGUAUGAGUCUUUGUUGCUGCCAAUUAAGUUGUUUUCACUUAUCUUCUUAUCUGCUAAGAUUAUUUCUUCAUUUUUAUACCAAACUUUUCUGUUAUCCCAGCCUUCUGCACACUAAUUAUCUCCAAUUAUUCAAUCUCACCUUUUAAGUUGUGUUUUCUAGAUUUUUGGUUCUUCUCAGAGCUCUAUCUAAUACUAUGCUCCUGUGACUUAACAACUUUCUGGAGGUCAUCUGCUUAUCACUGGACCCUGAUACUUUAGCUGAAGCCUUACCAGUGCCCAGGACCUUGCUGUACUGAUGGUUCUUUUAGUCCCAUUCGUAGGGCUGCUUUCACCAGACAUGCUUUCAACAUUUAAUUAAGAGCAGAGGAUGAACUGAUGCUAAGAGAAGCCAGACAUUCAGCUGGUAUAAAAUUGAUGCUGUCUCUUAAUGUUUAUAAACAAUCCUGGCUUGCAUUAUCUGAGCACAGUGAACCAACCAGGUUUACAAAUGCCCUGACAUGACAACACCCAAGCCUCCUGAGCUGUUUCACUACAAGUGCUGCUUCUGCCAACUGCAUCCAUGUCUAAAUCUAAAGCUGCUUCCCUGUUGUGAUGGACAUAAAACCCCAGUGCAUGAAUGAUGCAUGCUUGCAUAAUUAAUACCAAUUGUUUAACCAGAAGCGAUUGCUGCGUGAAGUGUUAAAACACUGCCCUGUUUUUCUAGUUGAUGGAUACUAGUGUUUAAAACACAGUAAUCAAAAUAUAAAACACAGUAAUCAAAAUAUUAUAAUUACUGAUUUAAAUUCUACUAAAAUAUACAAGCAGUGUGUCAUACUGGAAGUGCCACCAUCUCUGAUCAACUCUAAAACUGAAAAACAUGUUUCACUGAUUUAAGGCAUCACAAAAUGAUCGUAAAGUUAUCACAAUUAACAAUGUAAUUAAGAUUUACAGGUUGCCUAAUUUAUUUCACAUGUGUAAUAAUUGAAAUUUAAUUAAUAAAACUUGAGUUUAAUGUGCUAAUUAGCAGUAUUUUCAGAACCAAAUAUGUUUCAACAAUCAAAUUUGGACAGCAUCUUUUCCCUUUCUUACCAUUCUUUGCUGGAUUGUUAUUCUGCUUCCAUAUUUUCAGAUUUCCCAAUCUUCUUUUUAGUUGUACUUGACUGUCGGGGAAGAGAAUGAGGCUUUUUAUAACUUAAAAUCUUUAGCUGAUAAAUAAUAGUAUUUAAUUUUAAAUUGUUCUUAUUUUAUGCACAGUGGCCCUUGGACUUGCUGCUGCAUGUUCUUAUCUAUACCUAGGUCAUAUAUUCAUUUAAGCCAUUGUACAGCAGAAAUAGCAUAUUAUAUUCAUGGAUUUGAAAGAUUUAACAGUUUUUGAGACUGAUUGCUAUAGUCUCAUUUAUGACAGUGUAACUUCAUUGCAGACUCAGCUGAAGGCUUUCAAACUGGAAUGGAUCAAAUGGAAUCAAGGAAUGGAUCAAGGAAUAAUUUUUAUUACAGUAUGUUUUACUAAAAUGAGGCAACACCCUUUUCUGUUACUUUCGUUGAACAUAUAGCAAUAGUAUCAAGCAGUAGAGCUCCAUUGUUUUAAUGAUUUUGCAGUCUUAUUUAAGUGUGUUGGUAAAUCUCUACGUUAGUAUGGUGAUGAAAAAAGACAACUUUGAUAGAUACUUAUUCACAAUGGAGAUUAAAGGCUUAAAAUUUGGUCCUUGUCUGAAAGCUGACAGUGCAGAUCAUUCCAUCUAAUCAAAACAAAGGAUAUGAAAUGGCACUGAUUUACUAUAACUCCAUAGUCUCUCCUACUGCUCUACUGAAAGUCCUUCCAUAGAAUGAUUCUGCUAUACAGUCACUACUUUGCACUGGCUUUGUUGAUAAUUCCAAUGCAGGCAAACAAUACUCCAGAUGUCUUUCAAUAUUAACAUUUACUCACUGUGGCGUAACUUCUGAAGGUCACACCUCACUGUGUCAGUGGUCUGAGGAACAACUGGCAAAAUAGAUUUUUUGAUUUUGUUGUUGAAGGGGGCCUUAAUGCUUAAAUGGAGACAGCUUACAGAACUGGGCUAUCAGAGCAGCAGCUCAGGACUUGCUUUAUGCUGUAUUGACAAUGUCUUCACAAAUAAGACACUGACAAAUUGUCUUUCAAUGAAAGCAUAAACUACAGAGAAUAUUGUGCAAUGCAGACAAUAUUAGGAGACACCCUCCAGUAUCCAAGGAUUUGCGUUUUCUUAUUGCUUACCAUAUUUUUUCUAAUAUCUUUGCUGAUGCAGUGUCUCAUUUAGGAAGUGGGGUUUUUUCCCUUCUGCCUCAUACAAAGCACCCAGCAAGACUCUGAGACCAACACCACUUGUGCUUGUCAAGCGGUGUGAAGAGAACGCAGACUGCCACGUUACAGAGGCUGGAAGCUUUGUUAGGGGCUAACUUCAAAGACUGAAAGACUCCAGGUAUCCAAAGAGGUAAUGUCAAGGAAGGACUUUAGGUCUCCAGAAGUGAAGGUGGAUACAUUUUAUCAGGAAGUUAUGGAAUACCCAUCAUGGUCUUAACAAAAACAUAAAAUUAAAAAUAAUAAAAUAAAAUCUACAAAACACCAUAAUCAUUAAAUUAAAAGCAAAGGCAACAUACAUUUGACUAAUUGCUGAGGUGCACCAGAGGGCCUUUCACAGCCCCUUCCACUUCUACUUUUGGGGUCAGAUCUUGAACUGGUGCUGAAUUCCUCGCAUUUCAGUGGACUCUACGUGGUCUAUUGGUACUGAUCUGUGUUUACCUCCCUUUAGUAGGAAUGGGGCUUUAACUACUUGACAGUCCUGAUACUCAACAAUACCCUUUGGCUAUCUUGUGUUUAUCAAAAUUUCAGACAAAGUAAUUUUUUAAAAAUACACUUAGAUUACUGAAGAAAAAAAUGAUUAGAUGUUGCCUGUAUUCAGACUUCAGCCAUUUUGGAAUGAUGUGGUUAAAAAGAUUCUGUGUGUGGCACCAGUUUACUGUGCAGAGAAAGAUGAAUUUUUUCAAUUUCUGCCUUUCAAAAACAAGCAUAUAAUGGGAAAAAUAGUUUUUUCUUUAGCUUGUUACAAUCAGUAAUUAAGUAAGCUUUCUACAAAGAUAGCAUAUGGAAAACUGAUUCCAUAUGUUUUGGAAUGGCCUGAAUUAGUGAAAAGAGAAAUAAAGACAAAAGUAGCCUUAUGAAUAAAUGUUAUAAUAUAAAUCACAGUAACAUAACACUACUCUUUCUACCAUGUUUUUAUGCACUAGUGAAGCCUUAUUACAUAUUUCUGUGGCCCACUCUUUCGUGGGUUCUUCAAUAUUCCCUGCUGCAAUAAGCAGUAAUCUUUAAUACCUGUGGGACUGGCCUCUCCCAAGACACCCAGUGUGGAUUGUUCCCUAACUACUGAUUUCUACUCUUUCAAUGGCACAAAGAAUUCUGUGUUUUGACAUGGAAAUCUUUAUAACUAUAUAAAUGAAUUAUGUAUUCAUCCAAUCAUAAAAUGACAUCAUGAAAGCAGCUCUUUCACUGAUGUGGUGACUGUAGAAUUGCCUGACAUUAUUCUGCUAACACAAUUUGACUGGAUAUACAUUUUGACAUCCAGACAACAGGGACACUGAUGGAAACUGAUGGACCCAAUGUCAAAAGAAGAAAAGCUGGCUGCAGGAGGACACCCAGAAAAUUAAUAGGUGGAUUGUAAAAAACCCCUUUCCCAAAGGGCAAAGUCAAUAAAUUGAGGACUGAAAAAAAAAAAAAAAAAAAAAAAAAAGAACCCAAAGAUGAAAGAAAAGACACAGACAAACCAAUUCUUAUAAAAAUAGCAAAGAGACAAAGAGAUACUGAGGGGAGUUUUGGAGCACAGUAGAUGCAGGCUGAGGAGUAGUUAAUUUGAACCCGAUUAGUUGACAUUCAAUAGUUAUAUCUCUGUUUCUGCCACAGCCUUCAAAAAUAACUGUGUUGAUAAUGUAGAGUACCUCAUUAUAUCUUGUUCACACUUUUAGUCUUUUUCUUAAUCUCCACCAUAAAUAUGUUCCAAAAUACUGUAAAUAAAAUGCCAUCUGCAGGAGGACUAGCAUUUGUAGACAUGUUUUGUUGUGGACAUCUCAAUGCAGGAACCAAGACCUUUUCUUACUUCCCUCAAGAGCCUUUGUAAGCACUUGCACAUUUAUAAAGUGUAUUUAUAUAUAGUCUUCAAAAUCUCCAAAAAAAUCUGUUUUUUUUAAUCAGCCAGAAACAUAUCCCUUCACAUAUUUUGCGCAUUCUGAACUGAGCAUUUGUAUGUAUCACAGAUUGGUCACUUUUCCCUGUCAUUGAGUGACAUAUGUCAUAGGUAAAGGACUUAUGACAGAGCUUAAGGCAGAACUGUGUUAAAUAAUGCAGUGCCAAGAAUUCAGUAUUUGCACAGUCAACAAACUCCUCUUCUCCAAGGAAAUGAUAACAUUUACAUAUCUUGCCACCUGCUGACAUCAUGUUUCCCUUUCCGCUGACUCCAGUAUCAGACUAUUUCUAAAGCCAGUCAGAGACUUCAUUAUUCUGGGCUUUUUUGAGCAGUUUCUGAAGUCCCUGAGCAGUAAUUUUGGAAACUGGGAGACUGGUAUAGCUAAUAUCAUUAUAUAGUUAGUGUUCUCUUGUAUCCUUCUGUGUGCAUCUGCUGAUGGCCACUGUUUGGUACAGGACACAUAUUGGCAAAAUGGACCUUUGCUUGCUCCAGAAUAGCCAUUCCUAUUGUUCACUGCAAAAAAAAACCCCAAAAAACCCUACAAAAAACCCUCAAUCAAACUGUCAUCCAAAAUACUAAAUAAAAAGAAACAAAUUUUCUUACCAAGAAAUGAUCUUCAAAUCAAAAUACUGAAAAUCAACAAAAAGGAAAAAAGAAGUUUUUGUGAAAGUAACUUGGCUCCACUUUCUGCAGUGCUUGGCUAGAAUAUUUCCAUUGAUAGAGUUGCUAAGUGCAUUCUAUUUACAAAUAUAAACACUUGAUUUUGAUCAGCAAAAAUGCAUCAGCACACUUGAACAGUGCAAUGAUGACAUAAUUAUACUCACAAUUUCCUCUCUGUAAUGAUUUUUAAAUGUCAGCAGUCAUUUUUUGUCUAAUUGUAGCCUGCAUGUCAGCACUUCCUCUUAAAACAGCAUGUUUCUCUCUGCUGGAAUUUCACACCUCUCCACUCACUCACUCACUUCACCAGUGAAGAUAAUGAAGAUGAUAAAGGGCUCCAGGAUAUUUUCACUCCUGUGCUGCUUUACUAUUUAACAUCAAGCAGGCAGAACAAGGACUUUUUUUUUUUUUAAGGUAGAGAGUUUGAUCAGUUAAACUCUAAAUAAUUGUUUGAUAGUAAUGAACAAAUCAAAAAGUAGUUGUCGUUUUUCAUACCCCCUGCUUUGCUAAUAACCUGUCUGAAAGCUGGGGCUUGUGAUAAAAAUAUUCUCACAUACCUGCACUGUGAACUCACUCACUCAGGGAGAAGGCUGACCCUGCAGUGCCCGACUGUCUCUUGAUCAGUUCAGUGUUUAACACGGUGCAGAGGCAGGUGAUGCUUCCUCUGCAAAGGCAGCCUGGUUAGAGAUGUUACUGCUACCAUCUCAUCCUCUGACCUAGAAAGUGACUUUUGAAAUGCUAUUUUGCAUGGUGCCAGGCCUCCAGAGCCCACAGCAUAACAAAUAGGUGCACCUCAGAGCACUCUUCCUCUUUCCAUAGAUCACAGACCACAUCAUCAAGUGUAUGGAAGUGUAGCACUUGUGCAGUGAACUGGAAGCUCUGCACUGAGGUUAGCAGCAAACAUUUUCCACUCAUCUGAACAUACGCUGGAAUUGGAAACAGGGGCCAAAGAGGCCUCCUGCAAUCCAAUUUGCUUACAACUCAUCUUCAGCUCUCUGCUGAUGCUUAACUGUAGGGUUUAGGAAAUAAAGCUUAUAAUUUACUGACCCAUUUAGUAUCAAUAUGGUGAAAAACCAUAAAGAAUGCACACUGUGAAAUUAAAUCGUGAAAUAAUGUUGAGGUGUUUGAUAAAAAGUGAAUACGAUUGAGUAUCUCUGAUUACAAAUACACACCAUACACAGACAAAUCAAGCCUAUUUAUCUGUCUGCACGGGUCCCCAAAAGAUAGAAGACUGAAUAAAUUGAAAAAAUAUUGUGUAGGUGAGAGGGUGGGAGUGUGUUUUCUGAAGUGCAUUCUAACAUUCAUUAUGUGGCUCUGUGACAUUACCAACACAUGUGACUGAUACAAACACAGCUCUACGUGUGCACACAGGCAUGUGGGUGACCAUGCACAAAUUCAUAAAGCACAAAGACCAACCUGGUUCUCUUUGGGGUUCGUGCUGCAUUUUGUGUCCUACACUUUGAAUUUUCAUUUUUUUUGCUAAAUUGGUGUCUCAGAAAUCUUCUAUAACUAUUUGAAAGGACAAGAUUUUUUCAACAGUUGCAUCCCAUGCUCUUCUGAGAUAUAUGGAUGUGUAGAAACAAGCUGAAAAGAGAUGCUCCUGAGUCACCCCACUGCAGAGGGAUGUCCCCAAGGAAAUAAAGCAAACCAAAGACACUAACAGCCCAGCAAUCAAAAGGAAAACACACCAGAGUCUUUGAGUCCUCCUAGGAGAAUAUGAGUGCUCAAGUCAGAGGAAGACCCGCCCUGGGGAACACAGUGGGUGCAGCUAACUUGCCUGUGCUACUCUUGAGAGAACAGAAGUCAAGAACUAGAAAUACUAAAAGCUGAAAGACUAUGAAUGAGAUGAAACUAGAACACAGAGUCACUGUUCUAGAACUUUCCUUCUCCCCUACCCGUUCCUUUCCCAAUUUGGUGUCAAAUUAGAAUUAAUUCUAAAUCGGGUGUAAUAUGCUUGUAGGGAAGUCAGCUGCACUGGAAUGUUGCUACAAAGCUUCCUAUGAACAGGCUCCACUUCUAUGCACUGCACUACAAAAAUGAUUAGCACCUCCUUGCCAGAUUGCUCAGCUAAAGCUAAAUUGAGGAAAGGGAAGGCAAGCCCUUUCUUGAGUAUUCUGCAGAUCCAGGUGGCUUGCUGGAGGCGGUGAAAAGGAUUUCUUAAGGCUAUAUAAGGUAAAAAGGCUACUUCGAAGAGCAGGUUCUUCUGUUUCCAUAGAAAAGUGAAAAGGAUAUUUACCUGCCAGUUUGCCUCUUUGGGAUUACCUGCAGAAGACAAUGCAAACCCCACAUAGAACUAGCGGAGAUAAUUCUCAAUUACCUUGGCCAGGAGUUUUUUUGGUUCAUUGCUGAGUCUCACUUUUUUGAUUUGAAACUCCAGCUUUUUAAUGAUCUACCGAAGGCAAAAUGCCUUUACACCCACCCACUCCCAACAUUUGAACUUGAGGAAAUUUAUAAACGGAAGGGGGAAGUGGACAAAAGGUAUUGGAUUAUUGAUGUUACACAUAGGAACUAAGUUUAUGUUUUACAUUACAGUUAAACAUUCCUGUUACCUCAGACAAAUAAAUAAAGGUUGCUUAGAGAAUUACUCAUUCAUUUAGUGUCUAAGGGUGGUAGAUGCAGCAUGCAGGAGUACAGUAACAUUCCCUUUACUAACUGAAACAGGUUUAUAGCCUUCUAAAAUAAGACUACUACAGACUGUGCAGUUUGGGUGAUUAUUCAUGGCUCAGUCACCGCAUACAGGGCAUUGGCUUCUGCUGCAUCUGAAGGUGCUUGACAUCUCCUAAAGUCAUGCCAAAAGUAUUUCAAGUUGGCCUCUCAGAAAAUGAUGCACAUUAAAUUAGAGACCACAUCUGAAAACUUCAGUUGAUUUGCUUCAUAUGAACUUGAAUUGAACCUCAACCUUAAAAAAACAAGGCAUAUUAAAACAUAAAGACUGCUGAAUGGUAACCAUGACAACAAUACUUCCAAAAAACCAUAAGUAUAGCCAACAUUUGUAUAUGCUGUGAGUGAUAAUACAUUCUUUUGUAUACUUAUUAAUACCACUUUAUGCUGUGUGCAUGACUUUUCAUCAGCAAAACUGUACAUUAUGCAGGACUUUCCAGCUCUUAAUUUACCUUUGAUGUUUUUAACAAAAUGAAAUUAGGUCCAUACAAAAUGAAAUUAGUCAGGAUGUUCCAGGUUUUAGGUUUGGGUUCAAUAUGGUCUCAAAAUAUUGUUCCAGUUUUAAAACUCUGUCUUUUGGUAAAAUCUGGGCUGCAACUAUGUGUUGUGUUCCACUGAGCCAUAAUAUUGGUUAUAAUGUUUUCACUUUUUUUUCCCCCAGUUGUGACAAAAAGAGUGACAUUUUUUUAUGGUUUUGUUUUGGGAAGAAGGAUACUAAUUUUCAAAUAGAUUGUUAUGUUAAAUGUACCUUUUUUUCUAUCUACAUGUCUGUUAUUUUUCAGUCCUUAGACUAAAGGACAAUUCUUUAGUUUGGACCCUUGUUGACACUGAAGUAAUGCUUUAUGUCUCAUUUUUAUAAUUCAUUUCAUCCCAACCAGGGUGCAUUUUUAAUCCCCUUUUCUCUAACUAAAUUGAGGAAUACAGCCCUUUACAUCAGUUUGGAAAGAAAUACGUUAGUUUAUUUUGAAAUAUCCUGCCAAGGGACAUUUUCCUAAAUGAGUAUUUUCUAAUCUUUAAUUAGUAUCACAAAUACUUUUGCUGCCUGCACAUUCUUCCAGUGAAAGGUUGUAUAGAGCGAGUCACUGCAUUCUGCAUGUCCUGUGGGACUGUGUGAGGAGCUACACACUCCCCUUUCACACAGUAAACGAAAGCUAAAUUCUUGCUUUUCUUUUUUUUUUUUUUCUUCCUUUUCGUUAGGUCUGAAAUGCUAAAGCUAUAGGUGCAGUCCUGAGGGCUGAAUGCUGAUGCUCAGGCCUUCUUGGGUGGUACCAGGGUAAGGGUUGAUGUAGCUCUAUAAUUCAUCUGCCAUCUCUUCUUUUGCUAUUAUGUUGCUUUUCUGACCUCUUAUAUAUUUACUUCAUAGCAUGGAUACGGUGUUUACUAUUUCUUUGGGGACAUAAUGAAUUGCAAAAACAGUGUCCUUUCCCCUAGCAAGACUAGAGCAUAAAUAGUUCAGUUGCUAUCAAUCAGGAGCACUACACAUAUAUAUAAUUCCUUAUGUGUUUUUAUAUGUGUAUAUGUAAAUUUAUAUGUACAUAAAAUGUAGAACACUGACAGUGUGCUAACAGUCCAUUAAUUACUCGGAUAUGUGUCUUUGGCAUCAAACACUUCCAUUAUACAGCACAUGGAAGCAACAGCUAAGGCAGCCUUAGAGUGCAAAAAUCUCUACUUUGGUGCCAGUAAUGCAUAUAAUUCUUAGCUCACCUGUGACAAACUGUGUUAAACUGCAAUCAUACCUUUUAAUCCCCUCUAUGCUUUGGGAACUAGACCUGGCUUGCAUCUGGACUGUCCUCAAUAACUGUCUCAGAAUAGUGACUUCAGUGAGGCUUAUCCAUCCUGCAGGGAUAAACCUUAAAUAUGAGCUGAUGUUUAAUUUGUCUUGACUUCUUCUGUCUAGAGAACCUGGUUGGCUUCUCACAGGCUAGAACCAGAGUGUAAACUAACACAUAAGUAGUAUGGACAAGAAGGGUGCUAAGAUUUGACUGUAAACUGCUUCCCAAAUUAGCAUGAUUGUAGAGGUGCUAUUAAAACAAAUUGUUCAAGGCUGUAAAGAGACCUCCAAAACUUGAAUUUGUGAAGCUCUCAUGGUCUUAAGCUUAGGGCUCCAUUUCUUGCCUUUUUGAAAUAAAGAGCUUGAAAAUGGAAACUUUUCUUGUCCUUUCCACUUGCCUGUUCCAGGGUUCAUGUAGUUUAGAUUUAAUUAAUUCUCAGAUAAAAGGACUGGUAUAUAAGCAGCAGUUUUUUAUGAGUGACAGCUGAAGUGAUGGCAGCAUCUACUUUCUAUUGAUUUUUUUCAGUCUAAAUUGUCCUUUUCUCAGUGCGUGGAACCUUGUUCUACUUUGGGGACAGCAGGAAUAUACAACCAAAUAAAUCCCAUCUCCAUCUGCAUGCUCCCUCCUUUCUUCAUCUGGCACUUAUUGCAUGAACAUUACUAUAAAGUUACCACAAGACAGUGCUGAGGGCACAAAUGCACCUCAUUAAUUGUUCUAGGAAUGAGAAAUUAAAGAGUAGUGAUAUCCUGCAGGCUUUAAGGGAUAGAAGAAUCAUUGGAUGAGCAAUAAAAAUCUGUCAGUCUGUCCUCUUGGUUUGACCCUCCCUCUGGCUUUUCAUUCAGCCCAGGCACCCCCUUGGGCACUCUCUGGACAUGAGCUCCUGCAUUGGCAGCAGUUCAUGCCUGCUGCUGGCACCAUGUACCCUGCAGUCAGCUCCUGUAACCAAUGCCUAUUCAAGCCAUUGGGCAAAAGUCCAGCCUGGAAUCAACCACAGCACUGCUACAUCUUUGGGUGUCACCAACACUAAUUGAAAUGGCAAGCAAGGCCCUUUCAUAGCUAUCUGGUGCCAGCAUACUCCUUCCAUCUUAACUGCAGUUGGCCCAAGAAAACUUGACAUUAAAAGCACUGUUAGCUGGGAUUUAUGUUGCUGUGAUGCUGCAAAAUCUUUAGCAAAAUGGGACAUGUAGAAGCAGCAGCAGCUGCUAAGACACCCUCUCUCCUCCCACGACAAUACAGCCACGUUGUACAACCCCCCAGAUGUGCAGGGCAUCCCCAUGCAUGGCUCUGUGCCUGUGCUGGUCUGCACACAGUGCCAUGCUGAUGUGUCUGGGAUCCACACUAGCUGGGUUAGCGCAAAAUCCAAGCUCUCUGCAGUAAGAUUUAAAUUCUGGUUUGCAGAUAAUACGGAGAAAAGAGGCUCCCUCAAAGUCCUCUGUGAAAAAUUACUGCUUCCCCAAACACUUAGGGUCUUUAAGAGACAAGCAACAAACUGACUUAUUUCUCCUGUAAGUUGGGAAAACACAUCCUUUACUGCUGCAGAGGUUCCUAAAUGAAGCACAGCUGGAUGGCUGCCAGUCAAGCCUUAGUGUAGUAGUCGACUGGGGAACAAGGAUGCCCUGGCAACCACGUGUCAGUGAGGAUGCUGCAUAAUUUUUAACAAAUGGUUGUGAGCUAAGGCUGAGGGUGGAGGUAGAGAGUGAGCAAUUUCUAAUGAUGGAAAGCAAUGCUGGAGCAAUGGAACCUUAGAUGUUUAAGGCUCAAGAGCCUUCAACAAUUUUGCAGAUGUACUUACUCUUUCUUCUGUCUGCUUGAAGCUGUAAAUGCGACCAGGUGCCUCACCAUCAGAGGAUAGAUAUAAGGGGAGGUUAUGCAGGCUCAUUUUGAAAGGGGAAAAAGCUGUGCUGUGAACUGUGAUUUCUUUAUACCACACCAACAUAUGUUUGAUCCCUGAUUUAGUUUUGUAGCUUCAGUCUCCCUUUGUGUAAGUGUGCAUCAGUGCCCUGGUGGUUAAGGAGUAGUUGUCAUUUCAACAUAAAUUUUCCUGCUCUCCUAGAAAGCUGGAUCAAGCCACUUCUUGUAUGCUGAGGAGGCAAGGUAAAUCUCUUCAGAUAAUUGCUACACAUCAUUUGAUGACCCCACUCUGGGCCAAAGGUCUCCAGGGUAAAGGUUUUCAUGCUUUCAUAAACCUAAACUUCUGAGGAGGACAAUGGAGACAGACCAGUGGUUUAAAUAAAUCUCCAGAGUACCACUGGAGUUGCAGCUAUUAACUGAGCAUGUUCAUCAAUUCUGCCUAGUAAUGACAGCCCAAAACCUAUAGCAGCUCUUUGUGAGGUGCAGGUGAGGUCUGGUGACUUUGCAUAUUCUGGAGAGUCCUCUUCCAAACUUUGGCACAACAGGAAUGGUCACCGCUAAAGAACAGAUGGUUUAAUGCCACAAAAAGCUCCAGUUCAUUGGGCAGUGGAAUAAAUUUGAAGCAUAUCUCAUGUAUUUCACAAAGAUAAUGUAAACCUAUUAUUUAAUAGUCAGUUAAUACUAGUCAUAUUAGUUAAUAUUUAUGAAGUGUUUUAAUUUUAAAAUUUAUUUUAAGUUCCCAGAGAAAUCAUUAUGAAGUUGCUGUAGAUGUUAUUAUUGCUAUAACUGAGAGGAACAAUAGGGUUCUAUAAUCUACACAAAUGCUAAUAUUGUUUUGUUUCUUAACAGUACUUAUGUGCUUUAUAAAAUGUUGUGUAUUGUUCUCUGUGUCCUCCGAUCCAUGGUAACUUUAUAAUGAUAUAAAACAUUGACAUUCGGGGAUUGGUUUUUACUGUCUUCUUUCAUACAGACUUCCAUAGAGGAUUUGUUAAUGGUAUAUGUGUGUGUUUGAAUUAAACCCUUUAAUGCUAGGGGAGGAGAUCAGUUUGACGUGGAAUUCAACUGCUGUUGUUUCUGUAAGGAGAAAAGGCCUGCUGGUUUUAAGUGUCUUUGAGUAUAUCUGGUUGACGGAACAGUUUCCUCAAGGAAGUAUUCAUUCAGUCAAUGUCCUGAAGGGUUAAGAAAACAGAAACCCAUAGUCUUAGUGAGUUGUUGUUAUGUACGUUGCCAAGGGAACUGUAGCUGGAAUGUUUAAAUGCGUUGUUUCUCCCCAGACCCACAGGAGUGGAGCUUGAGUGUCUUGGUGUGCCCUAAUCCUCUCAAUUAGUUUUUGUGUGGUGGGGGGCUUAUGAGGCUGAAUCAGACUAAAUACUUGUUAGUGACACUAGGUAACAUUCCCACCAUGCUGGAUGGAGUGAGUUUAUCAUCAUGCUCAUCACUCAUGAGAAUUACAACCAAAAGCAGAAAAGGGAGUAUAUUGCUCUUAUUGCUUCUCCCUGGACCCCACGGACUUCCUUUAGUAAUGUAUGUUAUAGAAAUUAAUGAUACCAAGGAGCUCUCCAUAAUACUUAGGUAAGAGAAAUCAUGAAGUUCAUAGAUCUUGACUCACAUCUUUAGUAUCUGUUUUGUUUUGCCUUACAUGCCAUUUAACUUGCUUCACUGGUGUAAAGCUGGAGGAACUGCUGUUGAAAAUUACUGUAUCAACAGAGGAGGUAAAUUUUAGCCUUGUUUACAUAUAAAGGGUCUUGCAUUAUGACAGGUUAGUCUGCAGAAAGUAAUCAAGCACUCCUUAUUGCCAGAUCAAUUGCUGUAAGAAAAAUACCCAAAUGUAUGUAUCUGUAGAGGUUGACUGUGCCCUAGAUCUUUCCAGAAGCUGGGAACAACACUCCUUUUAUUGUGCCAUCACUCUCAAAUAUUGGGCCUGUUCUUCCACCACGCUUUUUUCAUGAGUUGUUGUCAGCACCCAGUUGGGUCAAAACUACCUGAGCAGCACUCAAUCCCUUGUUGAGUCAAACAUUUUUCCAAGCACAAACUGACCUACACUUUGACUGAUUUAUGUAUUUCUUCUGGUAUGUGGGAGGAUUUGCAUACAGGGGAAUGUUUUCACUUUUGUACUUGUACCUCCUUCUAUCACUCAACACACAGUUUUUAAUACAGUCCCAGAUAAUUCUGUCUUAAUAUACUUUGAGCCAAGUCUUGCUCCAAUGGACAUGGAAAAUACAGAUUACCUUCUCCUUACAGCUGCCUGUCAGGCACUGGAAAGCUCAGUGCUUUCCCAAGGCAUGGUUUCUAAACACCUGAUAAUUCUUGUUGCCUUUUAUGGCUCCUAAGCAGGACCCACAUCUUGAGCUAUGGCUCCUGAAGCAGAUAAAAUCUCCAUCCUGUCAGUGUUGGGCAGAUUACACACAUUUUACACAUGAAAGUCCUGUGCAUAUGUCCUGCUGUGAAAUUUCCUUUUUUGUUUCUGUCUCAGUAUGACACCAUUGAUCAACAGGCCUUUCUUUCUGCACCCAGAUCAAACAGUGAGCUUACUCUUCAUCAGGUCCUGGGGUCCUCAUCCUCCAGUUGUCCAGACUGAAAGUCAUCUGAACUACAAAACAGUGAGGGAGACUGAUUCACACUUGAGUGUUCUACAGGCAGUGAUUCCAAAACUUUUUUCAAGCUCUUAGAUUUAUAAAAGUUAGGAAACCAGAUGAUAGUAAUAUAGUGAUAGUAAAAUCCUGGAGAGUCAAAGCUUCCAUCAGUGGUCAGAGGCCAAAUGUCCUAUUUCCACUAUGAUCAGAAUGAGCUCUGGGAUGCUGACAGCACACAUUUCCCAACUGUGAUGAAUCUGAUGAUUUAAAAUAAAAGAACUAAGAAAUAAAAGCCAAAUAUUGAUCAAA
This is a long non-coding RNA of Pseudopipra pipra, 14135 nucleotides long. RefSeq lists it as uncharacterized. The record is from RefSeq and is a predicted model, not a curated record. Lineage: Eukaryota; Metazoa; Chordata; Aves; Passeriformes; Pipridae. The transcript has 2 exons.